CAGUAGCGUAUAUUAAAGUUGUUGCGGUUAAAAAGCUCGUAGUUGGAUUUCGGUUUAUUACCACCAGCACAUAUGUGCCCGGAGGUAAGAGCCUUUCCAGUAGCAGGAUCCUUUACGGAUUUCUUUGCUCCUGGUCUUUUACUUUGAGGAAAUUAGAGUGUUCCAAGCAGGCGGCAGCCUUGAAUACGUUAGCAUGGAAUAAUAAGAUAGGAUCUCUGUCCUAUUUUGUUGGUUUCUGGGAUUGAGAUAAUGAUUAACAGGAUCAGUCGGGGGCAUUCGUAUUUAACAGUCAGAGGUGGAAUUCUUGGAUUUGUUAAAGACGAACUUCUGCGAAAGCAUUUGCCAAGGAUGUUUUCUUUGA
RNAcentral lists this ribosomal RNA (361 nucleotides) under uncultured eukaryote. RNAcentral's name for it is "partial 18S ribosomal RNA". It matches the Rfam family "Eukaryotic small subunit ribosomal RNA", at positions 592 to 976 of the family's 1831-position model. The record is from RNAcentral.